Molecule: long non-coding RNA, 2466 nt
Filed under: Anthonomus grandis grandis
Lineage: Eukaryota; Metazoa; Arthropoda; Insecta; Coleoptera; Curculionidae
Description: uncharacterized LOC126741692
Source: RNAcentral
ACAGUCUAAGUUGAAAUCUAUAUACUUUGAUAUUAUGAUCCUUUCUAUGCAAUGUAUAAUGUAUUUCAUGAUAUGAUCGGCCGGCAUCCUAUGUUUACAUUUGUGUUUGUUUUGUUUAUUUGUUUUUGUUUGCCGCUGGUGAGCUUGGUGUAAGAUGUUGUUUUGCGGCUGAAGCCUAAAGAAUGGAGAGGUUUCUCAUUAAAACAUUGGCUAAGGCCAAACAAUCAAAUACUGAUACUUCACAUAGUUCUACAAGUGAAUGUAUCUCUCGGGGCGUCACAGAAACUACAACAAUUAAUGCUAUAAGCGAGGCUCCAAGUAUUACUGAGUCUGAGGACAUACUAGGAAAUGAAAGGACAUGUCCAUCCCAAGAUCCAUUCAUCUCAUCAGAUGAUGAUGAUGAUGAUAUUCCACAUGAGCCAGUGGCUAAGAGAAAAAAAUCUAUAAACACAAUUUUAGAGAUUAAUGGAUAAAACAAUUUCAUUGGGUUGAGAAAAGGAAUAAUAAUGCCUAUUGCAAGUGUUGUGACACAGCAAUUGUAGGAGGGAGCAGUCACCUAACAAGACAUGACCAGUCUUCAAAACAUAUCUCAAACAUCAAUAAUCCACCAUUAAACUAGAUGGCUUUUUUUGCAAUAAGAAAAAAAAAGACCAUCAAAGGGCAGUUUUUAGUGCUGAGUUAAAACUCACCAUGUUCCUGCAUAAGCACAACCUUCUAUUUAAGCUAAUGGAUCACUUACCAAAAUUAGUCGAAUCUGUGUGUCCAGAUUCAAACAUCGCUAAAAGCUUGAAUUGUGGCAAGACCAAAGCUACGGCUAUUACAAAUGAGUUAUUGGCGAAGGACAGUAUAAGAAAGCUGAAGCAAAGCUUAGAGGAUGAUGGUCACCCAUUUUAUUCUCUCAUCAUCGAUGAAACUACAGAUGUGUCAACAAAAAAAUCUCUGGUUAUAGUGAUAAGAUUUUUUGACAAGAUAGGAGUAAAAGAUAAAUUUCUAGGUUUGAUUCAAGUAGAAAGUGCUACAUCUGAAUCUAUAUUUAAUGCAAUAAUUAAUGUUUUAAAUACUUAUGGUAUAUCUCUUGAAAAUAUGAUUGGAUUUGGUGCAGACAAUGCUAGUGUGAUGAUGGGACAUAAAGCAGGAGUUCAAGCUAAGUUUAAGGAGAAAAAUAAAGAUUUGUUUGUUUUGGGGUGCACAUGCUAUUCAUUGCACUUAUGUUCCAGUGCAGUUUGUACAAAAUUACCAAAGUCUGUUGAGGAGUUUGUGAGAAGUUUAUAUAACCAUUUUUCCAAUAGUGCUAAGCGGAUUGCAGACUUUGAACAAUUCCAAAUUUUUAUUGAUUUGAAGCCCCAUAAAAUGUUACGUCCAUCACAGACAAGAUGGCUGUCUCUGCAGAUAACUUAAAUAUAGUUUUAUAAAUAAUUUUAACUACACUUUUUUUGUAGGCUGUAGUGGAUAGGGUUCUUACACUAUGGGAAGCCCUAAAACUUUAUUUUACUAACUUUAUUUUUGAAACUAAAAUAGAUAGUUUGCAUGUAGACGGAAUUCUACUUGAACACUUAAAAAAUCCUAUAUAUAAAUUAUACUUGCUAUUUCUUUCUUAUAUACUAGAUGUAAUAAACUCAAUGAAUCUAAUAUUUCAGUCUGAAAACACUCAAAUUCAAAAUUUGUAUUCUAAAUUUACAAGCACAUAUAAAACAAUAUUAAAAAAUUACAUGAAAAAAGAUAUUAUUAAUAAUAUGCAAUUGUCUAAAAUUAAUCCUGCUAACCCAGAUUUUUUUGUAAACCUUGAACAUUUAUAUAUAGGGCCAAAUGCAGCAUUAUUUUUAAGUGAAAACAGUAUCUUGGAGUCAGAAUUAAACAAGUUUAGGGUAAAUAUAUUAAGUUUUUAUGUUGAACUUUCGACACAAAUAAGUAGCUACGAGUGGCGAUAUUGCGUCAAUUUUUGAAGCUCAAAAGUAUUUUAAAUUUCUCAAUUUAUCCCCUCAGUAAUUAGACUUAGAGUGGCCAACGUUACCAGAUAUUGAUUUAAAAAAACAAACAACUGAUUUUGAUUCUAUUUGGUUACACCUAUUUGACUGUAAAAACGAGCUAGAUAUGGAUAUGUUUCCAAACCUAACAAAAUUAAUAAAGACUGUAAUGUGCCUGCCUCAUUCUUCUGCUGCAGCCGAAAGAAAAUUUUCCAAAUUGAGUCUUAUUAAAAAUGAUCUAAGAAAUAGACUGAAUAUAACUAUGUGCAAUUCCAUCUUAUUAUCCUCAGAUAUGCUGGAUAAUAACGUAUGCUAUAUAUGGCAACCUUCAGAAAAACUUUUGCAACAAAAGCCAAAAUAUUUAUAGAUAUAUAAAAUGUAAUUAUUUAUUGUAUAAUAUGUAUACAUCAUUAGUUAAUAGGUUUACUUUUGUUUUUUGUUAUUUAAGUAUCUGGACAAAGAGAAAUUUUUUUUUUAUAUAUAAAUAUACAUAUCUUAUUUU